AACAAGAGUGCACACACUGAAAUGUCUCGCCUUCUAUACUAAUCAUUGAUAUUAUGUUGAUAGUCCUAAGUAUAAAGCUAAGCUUUAAUACAACUGUCACAUAAACUUAACAUUAACCAAAGAUAACUAAACAAGACCAAUGAACCUUGAAAAUGAGGUCAAGGUCAGAUGAACCAUGCCAGGCAGACAUGUACAGCUAACAAAGCUUCUAUACAACAUAUAUAGUUGACCUAUUACUUAUAGUUUAAGAAAAAUAGACCAAAACACAAAAACUUAACACUGUGCAAUGAACCGUGAAAAUGAGGUCACGGUCAAAUAAAAUCUGCGUGACUGACUUAAAGAUCAUAAAAUAUUUCCAUACACCAAAUAUAGAUGACCUAUGGCAUAUAGUAUUAGAUAAAAAGACCAAAACUCAAAAACUUAACUUUGACCACUGAACCAUGAAAAUGAGGUCAAGGUCACAUGACAUCUCCCCGCUAGAUAGGUACACCUUACAAUCAUUCCAUACAACAAAUAUAGUAGACCUAUUGCAUAUAGUAUGAGAAAAAACAGACCAAAACACAAAAAUUUAACUAUAACCACUGAACCAUGAAAAUGAGGUCAAGGUCAGAUGACACCUGCCAAUUGGACAUGUACACCUUACAGUCCUUCCAUACACCGAAUAUACUAGCCCUAUUGCUUGUAGUAUCUGAGAUAUGGACUUGACCACCAAAACUUAACCUUGUUCACUGAUCCAUGAAAUGAGGUCGAGGUCAAGUGAAAACUGUCUGACAGACAUGAGGACCUUUCAAGGUACGCACAUAUCAAAUAUAGUUAUCCUAUUACUUAUAAUAAGAGAGAAUUCAACAUUACAAAAAAUCUCAACUUUUUUUUCAAGUGGUCACUGAACCAUGAAAAUGAGGUCAAGGACAUUGGACAUGUGACUGACGGAAACUUCGUAACAUGAGGCAUCUAUAUACAAAGUAUGAAGCAUCCAGAUCUUCCACCUUCUAAAAUAUAAAGCUUUUAAGAAGUUAGCUAACACCGCCGCCGCCGCCGUAGCCGCCGCCGGAUCACUAUCCCUAUGUCGAGCUUUCUGCAACAAAAGUUGCAGGCUCGACAAAAAAUUAAGAAAAAA
Molecule: long non-coding RNA, 1117 nt
Filed under: Mytilus galloprovincialis (Mediterranean mussel)
Lineage: Eukaryota; Metazoa; Mollusca; Bivalvia; Mytilida; Mytilidae
Source: RNAcentral